Molecule: ribosomal RNA, 176 nt
Filed under: Pseudomonas cichorii
Lineage: Bacteria; Pseudomonadati; Pseudomonadota; Gammaproteobacteria; Pseudomonadales; Pseudomonadaceae
Description: 16S rRNA. Bacterial SSU
Rfam family: Bacterial small subunit ribosomal RNA
Source: RNAcentral
UUGAACUGAAGAGUUUGAUCAUGGCUCAGAUUGAACGCUGGCGGCAGGCCUAACACAUGCAAGUCGGGCGGCAGCACAGGUACUUGUACCGGGUGGCGAGCGGCGGACGGGUGAGUAAUGCCUAGGAAUCUGCCUGGUAGUGGGGGAUAACGCUCGGAAACGGACGCUAAUACCGC